GAGCUAGGGUUGGGUCCAAUGGGUUGCCUAGAGGUUGGGGAUGAAGUGGUGUGAAGAUGGUGGCCGGAGGUGGCGCGACGGCGACGCUGGAGCGAAAGUGACACCGCGGCUUGAAAGGUUGGUGGUGGUUAACGGCGGCGAGGUAGGGCCUAGGG
This is a long non-coding RNA of Juglans microcarpa x Juglans regia, 155 nucleotides long. RefSeq lists it as uncharacterized. Lineage: Eukaryota; Viridiplantae; Streptophyta; Magnoliopsida; Fagales; Juglandaceae. The record is from RefSeq and is a predicted model, not a curated record. The transcript has 3 exons.